AGGAGGAGGAUGUGAGCGGAAGGGUGAGGAUGAAGGGUAAGAGGAGGAGGUGGAGAUGAAGUGAUAGGUGAGGAGAAAAAGGGGGAGUAGGUAGUGGAGGAAAGAAGGUGAUGAAGGAGAUGAAGAGUAAAAGGAGGAGAGGAGAUGGAUGAGAGGAAGGAAGAAGAAGAGGAAGAGAAACAGAAGGGAUUAAACAUGAGAAACAAGCGAAUGACGAACAGAGGAGGAGGAGGAGGAGGAGGAGGAGGAUUCACACCUUCAGAAGCUUCACUGCCUCCCAAGAGUCUCUAAUGAGUAAUGACGCCCCCCCCCUCCAGCUCUACUCCCUUCCACUAUUUCCCCUCUCUCCAAAUCUUUCCCCUCCCUUCCCAUCUUCCCCCUCCCUUCCCAUCUUCCACCCUCCUUUCCAUUCCUGCACACUACUAAUACUGCAAACACCUUUCCUCCCUCCCUUCACCUUCCUUCUCCCUUCUACCUUCUUUCCUUUCAUUCUUGUUCCUUCCACCUGUUUCCUCUUCCUUCCCUUCUUUGUCCACAUUUUCUUAGCUUCUCUUCCUUCCUUCCUUCCUUUCAUGUUCCUUCCUCUGUACCGAUAUUGUUAAUUUCUCUCCUCUUUUCCUUCUCCUUUCCCUCUCUCUUUCAUUCCUGCUCUCUUUUUCUCUACCAUGUUUCCUUUCCUCCCUGUUCCUUCCAGUCUCUCUCUCUCUCUCUCUCUCUCUCUCUCUCUCUCUCUCUCUCUCUCUCUCUCUCUCUCUCUCUCUCUCUCUCUCUCUACGUAGAACUAAGCUUACAAAGUCAUUUCGCAGCAAAUAUCGUGAACUCAUAGUGAUAGUGUUUAAAUUUUUAGGAAGCAACACACACACACACACACACACACACACACACACACACACACACACACACACACACACACACACACACACA
This is a long non-coding RNA of Scylla paramamosain (green mud crab), 924 nucleotides long. RefSeq lists it as uncharacterized. The record is from RefSeq and is a predicted model, not a curated record. Lineage: Eukaryota; Metazoa; Arthropoda; Malacostraca; Decapoda; Portunidae. The transcript is spliced from 2 exons.